RNAcentral lists this ribosomal RNA (292 nucleotides) under uncultured bacterium. RNAcentral describes it as "partial 16S ribosomal RNA". The record is from RNAcentral.
GGACUACUCGGGUAUCUAAUCCUGUUCGCUCCCCACGCUUUCGUGCCUCAACGUCAGGUAUGAGCCAAGAAGCUGCCUUCGCCAUCGGUGUUCCUCCCGAGAUCCACGCAUUUUACCGCUACUCCGGGAAUUCCACUUCUCUCUCUCACCCUCUAGUUUGCCAGUUUUCAUUGCAAUACUCCAGUUAGGCCGGAGCCUUUAACAACGAACUUAACGAACCGUCUACGCACCCUUUACGCCCAGUGAUUCCGAAUAACGUUUGCACCCUUCGUAUUACCGCGGCUGCUGGCAC